UCAAUUACCUUGUACCCCUGCACAGUGAGUCGGUACUGGUACUCCGUGUAUAUAGCCAAGUUAUCGUUACUCAUUGUGUAUUUAUUCCUCAUGUUAUUAUUUUUCUCUCUGCAUUGUUGGGAAGGGCUGUAAGUAAGCAUUUCACUGUUUCUCUACACCUGUUGUUUACAAAGCAUGUGACAAAUAAAAUUUGAUUUGAUUUGAAAGGCCUUAAACGUCUUAUCCUGAUAAGACCUUAACCGGGAUAUGAGCCAACUUUGAAUGUGUGUAAGCUGUAACGAACACAAUGAGGGCGUCUGCUAAAAGACUAAACUAUGACGAAUCAGAAGUGAAUGAUUUUUGUUUCCUCAUUUCUUCUCUGUUAAUUCAUGAUUGAACAAACAAGACAUAUAUAAACCAUAUAAAAGAGCCAUGAUGUCUGAGGUGCUGAGUACAGUGGAACUCUGAUUUCUCACUGCUAAUUUCCUGCAUCAUAUCGGGGCAGACGGGUUGCCUUCCACAUUAACAAUGUUCCAGUGCUGUUGUUGUAGAGACAACAGUCUUAUUUACAAAGCAGAGGUGUUCACUGGAGAAAUGCUGUACGCCGGCACAAUGAACAGUAUCUAUAUACAACUCCGUGGCACAAUGGAUUCAAGCCAUCGCAUCUGCCUCCCAAAAAGUAGAUUCAUUGGGGGCCACCCCCGAGGGGCUGUGAGUAACCCAUUGCUACAACUUUCCUUCCUUUGACCAUCUGUCCAUUUGGGUGACAAAAUCUAAAUCCAUUCACAUUAUUUUCAUUCUUAUGACUAGCAUACACUAAGCUAACAUGUGGAAUUGUUUAAGGACCCCUUAAGGUAUCCCCAAAAAUAUUUGAUGAAACAUUGAGUUUGGCCUUACUGCUCUUAGCCCAUAGAAAACAUCAUACAUGGAUGAACAGAUUAUCUA
Salmo salar (Atlantic salmon) is the source of this 924-nucleotide non-coding RNA. The record is from RefSeq and is a predicted model, not a curated record. NCBI's taxonomy places the organism in Eukaryota, Metazoa, Chordata, Actinopteri, Salmoniformes, Salmonidae.